This 75-nucleotide transfer RNA is filed under the name Desulfosarcina alkanivorans. RNAcentral describes it as "tRNA-Arg". Lineage: Bacteria; Pseudomonadati; Thermodesulfobacteriota; Desulfobacteria; Desulfobacterales; Desulfosarcinaceae. The record is from RNAcentral.
UGAGGAGGUUAGGAAACUCGAGGUCUCUGACUUCGAAUCCGUAGGCCGCAGGUUCGAAUCCUGCCGGGCGCGCCA